This 1620-nucleotide ribosomal RNA is filed under the name Salmonella enterica subsp. enterica serovar Stanley. RNAcentral's name for it is "partial 23S ribosomal RNA". It matches the Rfam family "Bacterial large subunit ribosomal RNA", at positions 1 to 1653 of the family's 2925-position model. The record is from RNAcentral. Lineage: Bacteria; Pseudomonadati; Pseudomonadota; Gammaproteobacteria; Enterobacterales; Enterobacteriaceae.
GGGUUGUGAGGUUAAGCGACUAAGCGUACACGGUGGAUGCCCUGGCAGUCAGAGGCGAUGAAGGGCGUGCUAAUCUGCGAUAAGCGCCGGUAAGGUGAUAUGAACCGUUAUAACCGGCGAUACCCGAAUGGGGAAACCCAGUGUGAUUCGUCACACUAUCAUUAACUGAAUCCAUAGGUUAAUGAGGCGAACCGGGGGAACUGAAACAUCUAAGUACCCCGAGGAAAAGAAAUCAACCGAGAUUCCCCCAGUAGCGGCGAGCGAACGGGGAGGAGCCCAGAGCCUGAAUCAGCAUGUGUGUUAGUGGAAGCGUCUGGAAAGUCGCGCGAUACAGGGUGACAGCCCCGUACACAAAAGCGCAUGUGUUGUGAGCUCGAUGAGUAGGGCGGGACACGUGGUAUCCUGUCUGAAUAUGGGGGGACCAUCCUCCAAGGCUAAAUACUCCUGACUGACCGAUAGUGAACCAGUACCGUGAGGGAAAGGCGAAAAGAACCCCGGCGAGGGGAGUGAAAAAGAACCUGAAACCGUGUACGUACAAGCAGUGGGAGCACCCUUCGGGGUGUGACUGCGUACCUUUUGUAUAAUGGGUCAGCGACUUAUAUUCUGUAGCAAGGUUAACCGAAUAGGGGAGCCGGAGGGAAACCGAGUCUUAAUUGGGCGUUAAGUUGCAGGGUAUAGACCCGAAACCCGGUGAUCUAGCCAUGGGCAGGUUGAAGGUUGGGUAACACUAACUGGAGGACCGAACCGACUAAUGUUGAAAAAUUAGCGGAUGACCUGUGGCUGGGGGUGAAAGGCCAAUCAAACCGGGAGAUAGCUGGUUCUCCCCGAAAGCUAUUUAGGUAGCGCCUCGUGAAUUCAUCUCCGGGGGUAGAGCACUGUUUCGGCUAGGGGGCCAUCCCGGCUUACCAACCCGAUGCAAACUGCGAAUACCGGAGAAUGUUAUCACGGGAGACACACGGCGGGUGCUAACGUCCGUCGUGAAGAGGGAAACAACCCAGACCGCCAGCUAAGGUCCCAAAGUCAUGGUUAAGUGGGAAACGAUGUGGGAAGGCCCAGACAGCCAGGAUGUUGGCUUAGAAGCAGCCAUCAUUUAAAGAAAGCGUAAUAGCUCACUGGUCGAGUCGGCCUGCGCGGAAGAUGUAACGGGGCUAAACCAUGCACCGAAGCUGCGGCAGCGACACUGUGUGUUGUUGGGUAGGGGAGCGUUCUGUAAGCCUGUGAAGGUGUGUCGUGAGGCAUGCUGGAGGUAUCAGAAGUGCGAAUGCUGACAUAAGUAACGAUAAAGCGGGUGAAAAGCCCGCUCGCCGGAAGACCAAGGGUUCCUGUCCAACGUUAAUCGGGGCAGGGUGAGUCGACCCCUAAGGCGAGGCCGAAAGGCGUAGUCGAUGGGAAACGGGUUAAUAUUCCCGUACUUGGUGUUACUGCGAAGGGGGGACGGAGAAGGCUAUGUUGGCCGGGCGACGGUUGUCCCGGUUUAAGCGUGUAGGUGUGUGUUCCAGGUAAAUCCGGUUCACUUUAACACUGAGGCGUGACGACGAGGCACUACGGUGCUGAAGCAACAAAUGCCCUGCUUCCAGGAAAAGCCUCUAAGCAUCAGGUAACAUCAAAUCGUACCCCAAA